This 222-nucleotide ribosomal RNA is filed under the name Triticum aestivum (bread wheat). RNAcentral describes it as "partial small subunit ribosomal RNA". The record is from RNAcentral. Lineage: Eukaryota; Viridiplantae; Streptophyta; Magnoliopsida; Poales; Poaceae.
AUGCAACCUUCAUUUUGCUCAUUCAUGGAAUUGUAUUUAGUACCUCUAAGAAAGAUGAUUAUCCACCGUAGUAAUGUGGGUUGGCUUGGAUUACUUAGUGUUCUAAUAACCUUGCUUCCGCUCGCCGCUGGCGCACCUCUCCUAACUAUUGCCCAUUUAUUUUGGAAUAAUUUUUUAGGAGGGAUAAUUUUACAUAUUUCUGCCAAAUUCUUCUAUUAUUAA